AGCAGAGAGGAAGGAGGGGAUGACGUCAAGUCAUCAUGGCCCUUACGCCCAGGGCUACACACGUGUUACAAUGGCGUAUACAGAGUGUUGCAAGAUGAUGACAGUGAGCCAAUCACAAAAAGUACGUCUCAGUUCGGAUUGCAGUCUGCAACUCGCCUGCAUGAAGUUGGAAUCGCUAGUAAUCGUGCAUCAGCAAUGGCGCGGUGAAUACGUUCCCGGACCUUGUACACACCGCCCGUCAAGCCAUGAGAGUCGGGAGGACCUGAAGCCAGUUGCUGUGAGGCGCUGUUUAGGGUUAAACCGAUGAUUGGGGCUAAGUCGUAACAAGGUAACCGUAA
RNAcentral lists this ribosomal RNA (338 nucleotides) under uncultured bacterium. RNAcentral's name for it is "bacterial SSU rRNA". It matches the Rfam family "Bacterial small subunit ribosomal RNA", at positions 1160 to 1505 of the family's 1533-position model. The record is from RNAcentral.